Molecule: ribosomal RNA, 391 nt
Filed under: uncultured bacterium
Lineage: Bacteria
Description: bacterial SSU rRNA
Rfam family: Bacterial small subunit ribosomal RNA
Source: RNAcentral
GACGAACGCUGGCGGCGUGCUUAACACAUGCAAGUCGAGCGGUAAGGCCCUUCGGGGUACACGAGCGGCGAACGGGUGAGUAACACGUGGGUGACCUGCCCUCCACUUCGGGAUAAGCCCGGGAAACUGGGUCUAAUACCGGUUAGGACCUCCUCAUGCAUGUGGGGUGGUGGAAAGCUUGUGUCUUUGAUGCUUGCGGUGGGGGAUGGGCCCGCGGUCUAUCAGCUUGUUGGUGGGGUGANGGCCUACCAAGGCGACGACGGAUAGCCGGCCUGAGAGGGUGAUCAGCCACACUGGGACUGAGACACGGCCCAGACUCCUACGGGAGGCAGCAGUGGGGAAUCUUGCGCAAUGGGGCGGAAGCCUGACGCAGCAACGCCGCGGUGGGGAU